This 25-nucleotide microRNA is filed under the name Salmo salar (Atlantic salmon). RNAcentral describes it as "ssa-miR-192b-3p". Its record names the gene ssa-miR-192b-3p. Lineage: Eukaryota; Metazoa; Chordata; Actinopteri; Salmoniformes; Salmonidae. The record is from miRBase by way of RNAcentral.
GGGUUUAUAUGGAGCAAAGGAACUC